This 253-nucleotide ribosomal RNA is filed under the name uncultured prokaryote. RNAcentral's name for it is "partial 16S ribosomal RNA". It matches the Rfam family "Bacterial small subunit ribosomal RNA", at positions 524 to 776 of the family's 1533-position model. The record is from RNAcentral.
GACAGAGGUUGCAAGCGUUGUUCGGAAUCACUGGGCGUAAAGGGCGUGUAGGCGGCAGAGUAUGUCCGACGUGAAAUCCCCCGGCUCAACUGGGGAAUGGCAUCGGAAACUGCUUUGCUAGAGUGCGAGAGAGGAUAGCGGAAUUCCCAGAGUAGAGGUGAAAUUCGUAGAUACUGGGAGGAACACCUGCGGCGAAGGCGGGUUGCUGGGCUGACACUGACGCUGAAGCGCGAAAGCUAGGGGAGCGAACGGG